This 160-nucleotide ribosomal RNA is filed under the name uncultured cyanobacterium. RNAcentral's name for it is "partial 16S ribosomal RNA". It matches the Rfam family "Bacterial small subunit ribosomal RNA", at positions 1375 to 1533 of the family's 1533-position model. Lineage: Bacteria; Bacillati; Cyanobacteriota. The record is from RNAcentral.
CGGGCCUUGUACACACCGCCCGUCACACCAUGGAAGUUGGCCAUGCCCGAAGUCGUUACUCCAACCCUUGUGGAGGAGGACGCCGAAGGUGGGGCUAAUGACUGGGGUGAAGUCGUAACAAGGUAGCCGUACCGGAAGGUGCGGCUGGAUCACCUCCUAA